Molecule: ribosomal RNA, 253 nt
Filed under: uncultured bacterium
Lineage: Bacteria
Description: partial 16S ribosomal RNA
Rfam family: Bacterial small subunit ribosomal RNA
Source: RNAcentral
UACGGGGGGGGCAAGCGUUGUUCGGAAUUACUGGGCGUAAAGGGCUCGUAGGUGGCCAACUAAGUCAGACGUGAAAUCCCCAGGCUCAACCUGGGAACUGCGUCUGAUACUGGAUGGCUUGAAUUCGGGAGAGGGAUGCAGAAUUCCAGGUGUAGCGGUGAAAUGCGUAGAUAUCGUAAGGAAGACCAGUGGCGAAGGCGGGUCUCUGGACAGUUCCUGACGCUGAGGCACGAAGGUCAGGGGAGCAAACGGG